This 4650-nucleotide long non-coding RNA is filed under the name Homo sapiens (human). RNAcentral's name for it is "HSALNT0229275". Lineage: Eukaryota; Metazoa; Chordata; Mammalia; Primates; Hominidae. The record is from RNAcentral.
CAGAAAACUGGGCAUGGUAAAAACAACUUCCUGUCCCUGAAGACAUGCUGGGGCCUCGCUCUUCUGUUGGUCUCCCUGCCUCCCAUCUUCUCCUCAUUAAAUCACCCUCUGCUCUUGCUCCUAAAGUGGAUCUGAUCACUCUCAUCCCUGCUACAUCAACACCAUUGCUGGCACACAGCCAGUCAAUGGACCAGGAUCCAAACUCAGGCCACCAACUCCUAAAACAGUGCUCUGAACCAUGGAGCUGUAUGGCAGUUGAGUGAGUACCAGUGUAGAAAGAUGGCCAAGGUAUGUUGUUGAGUUUUUUUAAAAAAUGGGAGGCCAGGCACAGUGGCUCACAUCUGUAAUCCUAGCACUUUGGGAGGCUGAGGCGGGCAGAUCACCUGAGGUCAGGAGUUCGAGACUAGCCUGGCCAACAUGGUGAAAUCCCAUCUCUACUAAAAAUUCAAAAAUUAGCCAGGUGUGUUGGCACGUGCCUGUAGUCCCAGCUACAUGACAGGCUGAGGCAGAAGAACUGCUUGAACCCAGGAGGCAGAGGUUGCAGUGAGCCAAGAUCUCACCACUGCACUCCAGCCAGGGUGACAGAGCAAGACUCCGUCUUUAAAUAAAUAAAUAAGUAAAUGGGGCUGGCCAUGGUGGCUUAGCCUUGUAAUAUCUGGAAAUUUGGGAGGCUGACGCAGGAUGACUGCUUUAUCCUGGGAGGUAGAGGUUGCAAUGAGCUGUGAUUGUGCUACUGCACUCCAGCCUGGGUGGCAGAGCGAGACUUUGUCUCAAAAAGAAAAAAAAAAAAAAGUGGGAAAAUCAAAUAGCAUGGAUGGUAUAAUCCCAUUUAUGUGAAAAUAACCAUUAAAAAUGUUAAAAAGGCACCCACUCAGAGGUCAUUUAUAUGGUAACCCCAAACAGCAGGAACUGCCCUAAGUUCCUGCUGUGGUAAACCCCACGCAUUGAAACUGCCCUAAGUCUCAUCACUGGAACGAAUGAAGGAAGACUGAAGGGAUGUGCUGCAGAGUCUGGCUGGGGGCAGGGUUGGGGUGGGCUGGCCAAGGAUGGUGGUCUUUAGUCGUUUAUAAAUGUCAGCAAUAACCACUUUAAGACACUGAACUGUUACUGUGAGAAAAAACCAGACUCACCCCAUGCCACCAUCCACCCAAUGGAAAGAACACUCAGAAGGCAUUCCAGAAGACUUCAGGGUGGCCCUGUCUUCCUGUCACGUAUCACGCUCUCAGGGACUUCAGAGGUAACUAAACUUGGGAGAUACCACUCACUGGGAACGAGACAGGUCCAGGAUAUUCUGGAUCAAUGAUCUCUUCUUGGAUAUAAUGAAAUAUGCCAUUUUUAGUCCGGAUGGUUAUCUACCCAUCUACUCACAAUAAUUAUCUCUGGGGCAGUGGGAUUAUGAAAGGACUUUUGUUUUCUUUGUAUCAUUUGAUUUUUUGUUUUUUUUCUUUUAGAGACAGGGUCUUGCUCUGUCACCCAGGCUGGAGUGCAGUGGCAUAAUCAUCGCUUAUGGUAGCCUUGUCAUUUGAAUUUUUUAUAUCAAUUAUGCAUUAUCAGGAAAAUAAGUAUCAUAAUUUUUUAAAACGUAAACUUUGUUUCAUUCCUGAUACAUCAACAGAGACAAUAUAAUUUUUUUUUUUUUUUUUGAGAUGGAGUUUCACUCUGCCCCUGCAGUACAGUGGCUCCAUCUCGGCUCCUGUAACUUCUGCCUCCUAGGUUCAAGUGAUUCUCCUGCCUCGGCCUCCUGAGUAGCUGGGAUUACAGGUGUGUGCCACUACACCUGGCUAAUUUUUAUAUUUUUAGUAGAGAUGGGGUUUCACCAUGUUGGUCAGGCUGGUCUCGAACCCCUGAUCUUAAGCGACCCUUCACCUCCCAAAGUGCUGGUAUUACAGAUGUGAGCCACAGCGCCCAGCAAGAGACAAUACCACUUAAACGGUGAACAUAUCAUCCAUUGCAGCAUACAACCAUGUGCCCAGGAAAGCCAACAUAACUAAGACUUGCCACUUUGGCAGAACUCUCUGGAAAGCGGUGUCUUCCUUUCACCAGAGAUGUAAAACAGGUAUGAUGGUUUCCCCUCAAACUUAAGGAGAAUCCCGUAUCUUUAUUUCUGCCCUCAAGCCCCAUGCAAUCUGACCCAUGGCUGCUUCUCUGACCUCUCCUCUACUUAAGUAUCACCUCAUCAAGGGGAAGCCCCUGCACCCUCCAUAUAAAAUAGCAGCCCCUGGCCAUUUUUCUCUAUCCCCUUCCUAUUUUAUUUUUCUUAUCAGCCCUGUUGUCUCCUGACACAUUAUAUACUUGUUUCUCUUCUGCCUUAUCCUCAGUGUCCGGAAUGGUACCCAGGAUGGUGGUACACUGGAGCACACACACCUAAGUAAGGGGACAGCUGUUCCUCAGCUCUGGUCACUGUUAGUGUAUAAGAAUGUGGAACCCUUGCCUGGGCAUGGUGGCUCACGCCUGUAAUCCCAGCACUUUGGGAGGGUGAGGCGGGCAAAUCACCUGAGGUCAGGAGUUCGAGACCAGUCUGGCCAACAUGGUGAAACCCCAUCUCUACUAAAAAUACAAAAAUUAGUGGGGCGUACUGGUUGGCGCCUGUAAUCUCAACUACUCGGGAGGCAGAGGCUGGAGAAUCGCUUGAACCCUGGAGGCAGAGGUUGCAGUGAGCCGAGAUCGCACCACUGCACUCUGGCCUGGGUGACAAGAGUGAGACAACGUCUCAAAAUAAAUAAAUAAAUAAAAAUGUCAGCUAGUAAUUCACAUCUUUUAAAAGCAAUGUACAAGUCAACGGGGUGGAGGGCAACAGAACAUGUCUGCAGCAAGCCAGUCUGUGAACUCAGAGAAGCUAUGAAAUUGAACUUCACGGAAGAUGUGAUUAAAGGCGAGAGGCUGGUGUGUUUCAACAGUGAAGGUCAGAUGAAAAGUACAUAUGCGGACAUGCAUUUCCUCUUGCUCCAUUUCAGGUUGCGCUUGCAAACAGUGUGAGGUGGCUGAGUAUAUUUAGCCACGUGCCUUUUUUUUUUUUCCCUGUUCAGAUUGCAUCUCUUAAGACUUCUGCCUUUGCUGAAAACUGGCAUUGCCAUUUUACUCUUACACUUUGCAGGAAAAUAACUCCAAGAGGAAAUUGACUGUGAAGCCUUAUGGAGUGCCCCCUCAAGAUGGGGAAAAAAAAGAAAAGAGAGAAAUAUAAUCAAGCACUCAGAGUGGAGAAAAUUAAGUGCUGGCGGAGCAGCAGCCAUGCCUAUGCGGACAAAUAAGGAAGUACAAGCAUGAAAGCAAAAUCGGAGGAACAUUUCCUGGACAGCAUUCCCAUCUCCAGUAAGAGUCCUUCUCACUUCAUAAAAGCGAUACGUAGAAGCAAGACUCUGCCUUUGCGGUGACGUCACUGAAUAUGCAGCCGGGGCCCAGAGUUGAACAAAUGCCACUCUGGCAAGCGGGGCAGGGUCUGGCUUAGCAACUUGACUUUGACCUACCACCUCUGGAUAAUUUUGCUUCUACAUAACUAUGGAGAUGAUGUACUCAUUCUAUUUAUAAAAAUAAUGCCCUUGGAGUAAACCCCAACCAUCCACUCCUACCUCCACCCUGGCCCAGGCCUGUUCUGCCCCAGUGCACCUAAUCUUCCUUCAUUCUUUAUCCCCCUUGUUCACACUGUGCCUGCAUCCUGCUCCUUGAACAAGCCUGGCCUCAUGCCGUUGCACGCUUGCUGCUUCCUCUAUCUGGAAUGCCUUUCUCAUUGCUCCUUGCCAAGCCACUCCUUUUUUUUUUUAGACACAGUUUCACUCUGUCGCCCAGGCUGGAAUGCAGUGGUGCAGUCUUGGCUCACUGCAACCUCUGCCUCCCGGGUUCAAGAGGUUCUCCUGUCUCAGCCUCCCAAGCAGCUGGGAUUAUAGGCGCACACCACCACGCCCAGCUAAUUUUUGUAUUACAAGUAAAGAUGGGGUUUCAACAUGGCCAGGCUGGUCUUGAACUCCUGAUCUCAGGUGAUCUGCCCACCUUGGCCUCCCAAAGUGCUAGGAUUACAGGCGUGAGCCACAGCGCCUGGCCCCAGGUCACUCCUAAUCCAUCAGGUUUCAACUGAAAUGUCAUGCUGGAAAGAGGCCUUCCUUCUCUCUCUAUCCUGGCUAACACUGCCUUCUCUCCCACACCAUCUUGCUAUCCCAUCUUUCUCUUCUGUUUUCUUCAGAGAACUUACUGAUACCUGAAAUGAUCUCAUCGUUUAUUUCUUCCUUUUUUCUUCAUUGUCUGUCUCCCCUUUGGAGCACAGGUUGCUUAAGAACAGGCACCUCACUGGGUGUGACCCAUGCCUGUAAUCCCAGCUACUCAGGAAGCUGGGGUGAGAGGAUGGCUUGAGCCCAGGAGUUCAAGGCUGCAGUGAGCUAUGAUUGUACCAAUGCACUCCAGCCUGGGUAACAGAGCACAAUUCCGUCUUUAAAAAAUAAUACAAAAAUAAAAAAGUAUAGGCACCUCUUCAGUUUUGUUCAUUUCUGAAUCUCUGGUGCCUGGGACAGAGCCUGAUGGUCAGUGAGAGGUGCUUAACAAAUGCUUGUGGAAGGAAGGACUGGGAUAUACUUUUGCAGUUCAAAGGACUUCAGGAAUGAAAUGGCAAUCUGAGGAUGGGGAGUAAAAUGUCCUGUUGUCAACCCUGUAAGCUGCUAAACC